MicroRNA precursor from Poecilia formosa (Amazon molly), 91 nucleotides. The record is from Ensembl. NCBI's taxonomy places the organism in Eukaryota, Metazoa, Chordata, Actinopteri, Cyprinodontiformes, Poeciliidae.
UGGCGACGCCCAAAGGCUCGGCAUUAAGGUGGGUGGAAUAUUAUAACAAUAUCCCCCCCAUGUUGUUAUAGUAUUCCACCUACCCUGAUGU